This 1552-nucleotide long non-coding RNA is filed under the name Homo sapiens (human). Its description in RNAcentral is "HSALNT0314921". The record is from RNAcentral. Lineage: Eukaryota; Metazoa; Chordata; Mammalia; Primates; Hominidae.
CUGUUACUUGAAAUCAAGUGGUUCUAACUUAUGGAAGAUGGUUUCAUCAGUGUCUAGACAUGCUAACCUUUAAAGUCUUAUUGUUUUUGGAGAGUUUCCACCCCUCCAGGUUCGAAGCCAUUACCAGAGUGCUGCUGAAGCCCCUUGCAGAUGUGAGGGGACCUCUCAUGCCAAGUCUUAUGGCUGCAAAGACAUCGCAUUCCACAGUGUGGUGUCAGAGAAGAGGUAAAGGGCAUAAUUUUUCUUUUUUGGGAAAUUGCUGAUUUUUUUUCCCUAGUUAUAUAAGCAAUAACUGUUCAAUAUAAAAAUUUCAGGAUGUAUAGAAAACCAUAAACAGGAAAUGAAAAACAAUAACCUGUUAUUCCAACUCUUGGAGAUAGCCACCUUUAGCAUCCUGGUGGGUAGUUUUCCAGGAAGGAAUUUUUUAAAAAGGAGAAACAAAACCCUAAUGAGGCUCCUCCUGUUACCUAGACCCAAGGGAGCAAGUCAGAAGCCAGCUAGAAAUGCAGAUGGAGACCUUGCCAAGUUUUAACUAGAAGGGGCUUGUGGGGUACAUUCAAAGGAGGUGUCAUUCCUACCCUCAGUGAGACCAGUUAAUAACAUCCAGGCAAAAUUAAAAUUUGGGAAUGGAAAAAAAACAGGAGAAAUGCUUAACACUUUUUUUUUUUCUCUUUGAAGGAGAUACUGAGGGAAUCUGCCUAUAGGGCUGUAGGCAAAGGGCUCAGAGGAAACUGUAAACAAAACAGAGUUCUGUCCAGCCCUAGUUUUCAUAGGCAGUUGCUACUUUUUAGUGAAAGCUAGUAAGGAAUUUUCAGACAUUCAAAAAUGUAAUCCAUGGGGAAAAAACCCCUACAAUGUAAGUAAUAAAAUUAUCACCCAUUUUAUGGUUGAAGAAAUGGAGACUCACGUGAGGUAACUUGCCUAAGGACACACACCAAGGGAAAGGAGGCAGAGCUGGGAGUCAAAUCCAAAAUUGCCUCAAAAUCAUUACUUUUCCAUCACAGCACAUUGUUUUGAGGCACCUUAUUCUGGAAAAACAGGUAAAGUCCUGGCUUCCAUCAAGGUACAAGGAUCUGUAUACUCUUACAGAAUGUAUCCUCCAAAUUUGGAGACUCAACCAUAAACUAUCAUCCUCCGAAAUGGAUGCUAAGAAUGUGGAAGAAAACAUUCUCCAAAUCUUCUUAGGGAAUAAGCUGGCCUGGUAGAUUAUUUAUAAAUGUAACUCUCAAGAUGACAGCAUUCCCAUCUCCUCCAGCAGUCCUGGGAGAGAACUCUCUCCAGUCACCUUGGGAAGAUUUCCCUCUCCUACAACAGCUAACAUCAGUGGAGCUGCCAGCAUAUUCACUCUAAGGACACAACAAAAGGCACUAUCUUUGAAGAGCGUGAACCCUUACCAGAUGGAAUCUGCUGACACCUUGAUCUUGGACUUCCCAGCCUCCAGAACUGGCUGGUUUCCUCUACCAGAAAAUGGGGAAAGACAAACUGGUUUCGCAACCAGUGAAACCAUUCAGCCAAUAGCGAGAAAUAAACAGACAAGCUCCUUUAAAAAUGA